Molecule: ribosomal RNA, 380 nt
Filed under: uncultured bacterium
Lineage: Bacteria
Description: bacterial SSU rRNA
Rfam family: Bacterial small subunit ribosomal RNA
Source: RNAcentral
AUUGAACGCUGGCGGCAUGCCUUACACAUGCAAGUCGAACGGCAGCACGGGAGCAAUCCUGGUGGCGAGUGGCGAACGGGUGAGUAAUAUAUCGGAACGUGCCCAGUCGUGGGGGAUAACGUAGCGAAAGCUACGCUAAUACCGCAUACGAUCUAUGGAUGAAAGCGGGGGAUCGCAAGACCUCGCGCGAUUGGAGCGGCCGAUAUCAGAUUAGGUAGUUGGUGGGGUAAAAGCCUACCAAGCCUUCGAUCUGUAGCUGGUCUGAGAGGACGACCAGCCACACUGGAACUGAGACACGGUCCAGACUCCUACGGGAGGCAGCAGUGGGGAAUUUUGGACAAUGGGCGCAAGCCUGAUCCAGCAAUGCCGCGUGCAGGAUG